This 488-nucleotide ribosomal RNA is filed under the name uncultured bacterium. RNAcentral's name for it is "partial 16S ribosomal RNA". It matches the Rfam family "Bacterial small subunit ribosomal RNA", at positions 29 to 503 of the family's 1533-position model. The record is from RNAcentral.
AGUGAACGCUGGCGGUAGGCCUAACACAUGCAAGUCGAACGGCAGCACAGUAAGAGCUUGCUCUUACGGGUGGCGAGUGGCGGACGGGUGAGGAAUACAUCGGAAUCUACUUUUUCGUGGGGGAUAACGUAGGGAAACUUACGCUAAUACCGCAUACGACCUACGGGUGAAAGCAGGGGAUCUUCGGACCUUGCGCGAUUGAAUGAGCCGAUGUCGGAUUAGCUAGUUGGCGGGGUAAAGGCCCACCAAGGCGACGAUCCGUAGCUGGUCUGAGAGGAUGAUCAGCCACACUGGGAGUGAGGCUCCAGACAGCCACCUACGGGAGGAGUGAGGAGGGAAUAUCGGUGAGUGGGAGCAAGCCCGAGCCAGCCAUACCGCGUGAGUGAGGCAGUCCUUCGGGUAGGAACGUCCGUUGGGUAAGAAAGACAAGCGGCAGGUUCCUCCCCGGCUGUACGGUCGGUACCGAAAGAACACGCACCGACUAAGUG